RNAcentral lists this ribosomal RNA (253 nucleotides) under uncultured bacterium. RNAcentral describes it as "partial 16S ribosomal RNA". It matches the Rfam family "Bacterial small subunit ribosomal RNA", at positions 524 to 776 of the family's 1533-position model. The record is from RNAcentral.
AACGUAGGAGGCGAGCGUUAUCCGGAUUUACUGGGUGUAAAGCGCGUGCAGGCGGUUGGUUAAGUUGGGUGUGAAAGCUCCUGGCUCAACUGGGAGAGGUCGCUCAAGACUGGCCAACUGGAGAGCAGUAGGGGAAGGUGGAAUUCCGGGUGUAGUGGUGAAAUGCGUAGAGAUCUGGAGGAAUACCGGUGGCGAAGGCGGCCCCCUGGACAAAGACUGACGCUCAGGUGCGAAAGCGUGGGGAGCAAACAGG